UACGUAGGGUCCAAGCGUUAAUCGGAAUUACUGGGCGUAAAGCGUGCGUAGGCGGUUUCGCAAGUCCGAUGUGAAAUCCUUGGGCUUAACCUGGGAACUGCGUUGGAAACUACGAAGCUAGAGUGCGGCAGAGGGGGGUGGAAUUCCAGGUGUAGCAGUGAAAUGCGUAGAGAUCUGGAGGAACAUCGAUGGCGAAGGCAGCCCUCUGGGCUAGCACUGAUGCUCAUACACGAAAGCGUGGGGAGCAAACAGG
This 253-nucleotide ribosomal RNA is filed under the name uncultured bacterium. Its description in RNAcentral is "partial 16S ribosomal RNA". It matches the Rfam family "Bacterial small subunit ribosomal RNA", at positions 524 to 776 of the family's 1533-position model. The record is from RNAcentral.